CGAUGAAGCCCUUCGGGGUGGAUUAGUGGCGAACGGGUGAGUAACACGUGGGCAAUCUGCCCUGCACUCUGGGACAAGCCCUGGAAACGGGGUCUAAUACCGGAUACUGAUCGCCUUGGGCAUCCUUGGUGAUCGAAAGCUCCGGCGGUGCAGGAUGAGCCCGCGGCCUAUCAGCUUGUUGGUGAGGUAAUGGCUCACCAAGGCGACGACGGGUAGCCGGCCUGAGAGGGCGACCGGCCACACUGGGACUGAGACACGGCCCAGACUCCUACGGGAGGCAGCAGUGGGGAAUAUUGCACAAUGGGCGAAAGCCUGAUGCAGCGACGCCGCGUGAGGGAUGACGGCCUUCGGGUUGUAAACCUCUUUCAGCAGGGAAGAAGCGAAAGUGACGGUACCUGCAGAAGAAGCGCCGGCUAACUACGUGCCAGCAGCCGCGGUAAUACGUAGGGCGCGAGCGUUGUCCGGAAUUAUUGGGCGUAAAGAGCUCGUAGGCGGCUUGUCGCGUCGGUUGUGAAAGCCCGGGGCUUAACCCCGGGUCUGCAGUCGAUACGGGCAGGCUAGAGUUCGGUAGGGGAGAUCGGAAUUCCUGGUGUAGCGGUGAAAUGCGCAGAUAUCAGGAGGAACACCGGUGGCGAAGGCGGAUCUCUGGGCCGAUACUGACGCUGAGGAGCGAAAGCGUGGGGAGCGAACAGGAUUAGAUACCCUGGUAGUCCACGCCGUAAACGGUGGGCACUAGGUGUGGGCGACAUUCCACGUCGUCCGUGCCGCAGCUAACGCAUUAAGUGCCCCGCCUGGGGAGUACGGCCGCAAGGCUAAAACUCAAAGGAAUUGACGGGGGCCCGCACAAGCGGCGGAGCAUGUGGCUUAAUUCGACGCAACGCGAAGAACCUUACCAAGGCUUGACAUACACCGGAAACGUCCAGAGAUGGGCGCCCCCUUGUGGUCGGUGUACAGGUGGUGCAUGGCGUCGUCAGCUCGUGUCGUGAGAUGUUGGGUUAAGUCCCGCAACGAGCGCAACCCUUGUCCCGUGUUGCCAGCAGGCCCUUGUGGUGCUGGGGACUCACGGGAGACCGCCGGGGUCAACUCGGAGGAAGGUGGGGACGACGUCAAGUCAUCAUGCCCCUUAUGUCUUGGGCUGCACACGUGCUACAAUGGCCGGUACAAUGAGCUGCGAUACCGCGAGGUGGAGCGAAUCUCAAAAAGCCUGGUCUCAGUUC
Molecule: ribosomal RNA, 1217 nt
Filed under: Streptomyces sp.
Lineage: Bacteria; Bacillati; Actinomycetota; Actinomycetes; Kitasatosporales; Streptomycetaceae
Description: bacterial SSU rRNA
Rfam family: Bacterial small subunit ribosomal RNA
Source: RNAcentral